CCUAAAAAUAAUUUCACCAAUAGUAGGCGCACUUCCUAAGAAGACGCACUUCCUAAGAAUAGUUUCACCAAUAGGAGACGCACUUCCUAAGAAUAGUUUCACCAAUAGGAGACGCACUUCCUAAGUAAGUUUCACCAAUAGGAGACGCACAUCCUAAGUCAGUUUCACCAACAGGAGACACACAUCCUAAGGAGACGCACUUCCUAAGAUAAGUUUCACCAAUAGGAGACGCACUUCCUAAGAAUAAUUUCACCAAUAGGAGACGCACUUCCUAAGGAGACGCACAUCCUAAGAAUAUUUUCACCAAUAGGAGACGCACUUCCUAAGAUAAGAUUCACCAAGAGGAGACGCACAUCCUAAGAAUAGUUUCACCAAUAGGAGACGCACUUCCUAAGAAUAAUCUCACCAAUAGGAGACGCACUUCCUAAGUAUAGUUGUACCCAUAGGAGACGCACUUCCUAAUUGAGUUUUACCAAUAGGAGACGCACUUCCUAAGAACAGGUUUUCCCAAUAGGAGACGCACUUCCUAAGUUUAUUGUACCCACAGGAGACGCACUUCCUAAGUUUAUUGUACCCAAUAGGAGACGCACUUCCUUAAAGUUUAGUUUUGCCCAUAGGAGACGCACUUCCUAAGUUUACUUUUACCCCAUAGGAGACGCACUUCCUAAAUUAAGAUUUCACGCAUAGGAGACGCACUUCCUAAAUU
Molecule: long non-coding RNA, 706 nt
Filed under: Nicotiana tabacum (common tobacco)
Lineage: Eukaryota; Viridiplantae; Streptophyta; Magnoliopsida; Solanales; Solanaceae
Description: long non-coding RNA (NTAB_LNC001211)
Source: RNAcentral